This 405-nucleotide long non-coding RNA is filed under the name Drosophila melanogaster (fruit fly). Its description in RNAcentral is "long non-coding RNA:CR43282 (Dmel_CR43282)". The record is from RNAcentral. Lineage: Eukaryota; Metazoa; Arthropoda; Insecta; Diptera; Drosophilidae.
AUCUCUAAAUUGACAGUGACAAUGCUAAAACGUGGAUGAAAUUUUAUUUUGCCUUUUCGAUUUGGUGGAUCAACAUUUGUAAGAAUUCCUUGAUGGCUAUCUUCUGGACUACGAGAUUACAAGAGUAAGCUUCGAAUUAAUGAGGUCCUUUCCAAGACGUAGUAAUUCAAGUUUUUUAGGAAUAUUGGAACCAAUGAGAACUAUGGGAAGACAUCGACAACCCCAGGCGAAUGGACGGCAUCCUGCAGCAUCCCAAUGAGCAAGAAUAUACAUAAUUCGAAUCAUCACGGAACAUAUGAUGAAAUGGAUUCCCUUAAGGUGGCGGUAUGCUGCUGAGUGACCAAAGAAGUUCAUUGCUAACCAAUGGCGAGAAACUUUGACCCCAUUACGAGAACACAAUCCUUG